This 76-nucleotide transfer RNA is filed under the name Candidatus Roizmanbacteria bacterium. RNAcentral describes it as "tRNA-Val". It matches the Rfam family "tRNA". Rfam says of the family: Transfer RNA (tRNA) molecules are approximately 80 nucleotides in length. Their secondary structure includes four short double-helical elements and three loops (D, anti-codon, and T loops). Further hydrogen bonds mediate the characteristic L-shaped molecular structure. tRNAs have two regions of fundamental functional importance: the anti-codon, which is responsible for specific mRNA codon recognition, and the 3' end, to which the tRNAs corresponding amino acid is attached (by aminoacyl-tRNA synthetases). tRNAs cope with the degeneracy of the genetic code in two manners: having more than one tRNA (with a specific anti-codon) for a particular amino acid; and 'wobble' base-pairing, i.e. permitting non-standard base-pairing at the 3rd anti-codon position. The record is from RNAcentral. Lineage: Bacteria; Candidatus Roizmaniibacteriota.
GGAUCGUUAGCUCAGCGGCUAGAGCGCUUCGUUCACAUCGAAGAGGUCGUAGGUUCAAAUCCUACACGAUCCACAA